UACGUAGGGUGCAAGCGUUAAUCGGAAUUACUGGGCGUAAAGCGUGCGCAGGCGGUUUUGUAAGUCUGUCGUGAAAGCCCCGGGCUCAACCUGGGAAUUGCGAUGGAGACUGCACGGCUUGAAUCUGGCAGAGGGGGGUAGAAUUCCACGUGUAGCAGUGAAAUGCGUAGAGAUGUGGAGGAACACCGAUGGCGAAGGCAGCCCCCUGGGUCAAGAUUGACGCUCAUGCACGAAAGCGUGGGGAGCAAACAGG
RNAcentral lists this ribosomal RNA (253 nucleotides) under uncultured bacterium. RNAcentral's name for it is "partial 16S ribosomal RNA". It matches the Rfam family "Bacterial small subunit ribosomal RNA", at positions 524 to 776 of the family's 1533-position model. The record is from RNAcentral.